CAGCAGCCGCGGGAAUACGAAGGGGGCUAGCGUUGCUCGGAAUGACUGGGCGUAAAGGGCGCGUAGGCGGAUUGUUUAGUUAGGCGUGAAAUUCCUGGGCUUAACCAGGGGGCUGCGUUUGAUACUUGGUUGCUUGAGUGGGGAAGAGGGUCGUGGAAUUCCCAGUGUAGAGGUGAAAUUCGUAGAUAUUGGGAAGAACACCGGUGGCGAAGGCGGCGACCUGGUCCUUUACUGACGCUGAGGCGCGAGAGCGUGGGGAGCAAACAGGAUUAGAUACCCCCGUAGUCCCUGUCUCUUAUAC
RNAcentral lists this ribosomal RNA (301 nucleotides) under uncultured bacterium. RNAcentral's name for it is "partial 16S ribosomal RNA". It matches the Rfam family "Bacterial small subunit ribosomal RNA", at positions 509 to 807 of the family's 1533-position model. The record is from RNAcentral.